This 482-nucleotide ribosomal RNA is filed under the name uncultured bacterium. RNAcentral's name for it is "partial 16S ribosomal RNA". It matches the Rfam family "Bacterial small subunit ribosomal RNA", at positions 30 to 507 of the family's 1533-position model. The record is from RNAcentral.
AUUGAACGCUGGCGGCAUGCCUUACACAUGCAAGUCGAACGGUAACAGGUCUUCGGAUGCUGACGAGUGGCGAACGGGUGAGUAAUACAUCGGAACGUGCCCGAUCGUGGGGGAUAACGAAGCGAAAGCUUUGCUAAUACCGCAUAAGAUCUACGGAUGAAAGCAGGGGACCGCAAGGCCUUGCGCGAACGGAGCGGCCGAUGGCAGAUUAGGUAGUUGGUGGGAUAAAAGCUUACCAAGCCGACGAUCUGUAGCUGGUCUGAGAGGACGACCAGCCACACUGGGACUGAGACACGGCCCAGACUCCUACGGGAGGCAGCAGUGGGGAAUUUUGGACAAUGGGCGAAAGCCUGAUCCAGCCAUGCCGCGUGCAGGAUGAAGGCCUUCGGGUUGUAAACUGCUUUUGUACGGAACGAAAAGACUCUGGUUAAUACCUGGGGUCCAUGUCGGUACCGUAAGAAUAAGCACCGGCUAACUACGUG